This 314-nucleotide ribosomal RNA is filed under the name uncultured eukaryote. RNAcentral's name for it is "partial large subunit ribosomal RNA". It matches the Rfam family "Eukaryotic large subunit ribosomal RNA", at positions 40 to 350 of the family's 3401-position model. The record is from RNAcentral.
AUAUUAUUAAGCGGAGGAAAGAACAUAUACUAGGAUUCCCCUAGUAAUGGCGAAUGAAGUGGGAAAAGCUCAAUUUUGAAAUCUGGCAGCUUCGCUGUCCGAGUUGUAAUCUCGAGAAGCGUCUUCCGUACUGUACUACGCAUGAGUCUGCUGGAAUGCAGCGUCAUAGAGGGUGAGAACCCCGUUCAUGGCGGAGUAUACAGUGCUUUGUGAUGCGCUUUCGAUGAGUCGAGUUGUUUGGGAAUGCAGCUCAAAUUGGGUGGUAAAUUCCAUCUAAAGCUAAAUAUUGGCGGGAGACCGAUAGCGCACAAGUA